UACGAAGGGGGCUAGCGUUGCUCGGAAUCACUGGGCGUAAAGCGCACGUAGGCGGCUUUUUAAGUCAGGGGUGAAAUCCUGGAGCUCAACUCCAGAACUGCCUUUGAUACUGAGAAGCUUGAGUCCGGGAGAGGUGAGUGGAACUGCGAGUGUAGAGGUGAAAUUCGUAGAUAUUCGCAAGAACACCAGUGGCGAAGGCGGCUACCUGGGCCAAUACUGACGCUGAGGCACGAAAGCGUGGGGAGCAAACAGG
Molecule: ribosomal RNA, 253 nt
Filed under: uncultured bacterium
Lineage: Bacteria
Description: partial 16S ribosomal RNA
Rfam family: Bacterial small subunit ribosomal RNA
Source: RNAcentral